CGCCUCUUGCAAAAACAAUGUAUAAGAGGUCCCGCCUGCCCUGUGACUAUAUGUUUAACGGCCGCGGUAUUUUGACCGUGCAAAGGUAGCGCAAUCACUUGUCCUUUAAAUGAGGACCUGUAUGAAUGGCACGACGAGGGCUUAGCUGUCUCCUUUUUCAAGUCAAUGAAAUUGAUCUUCCCGUGCAGAAGCGGGGAUUAUAACAUAAGACGAGAAGACCCUAUGGAGCUUUAGACAUAAAACAGACCACGUCAAACAACCUUGCACAUAAGAAUAAACUAAGUGGACCCUGCUUGAAUGUUUUUGGUUGGGGCGACCGCGGGGUAACAAAAAACCCCCAUGUGGAAUGAAAACACCUUUUUAGAACCAAGAGCUACCGCUCUAAGCAACAGAAAAUCUGACCAAUCAGAUCCGGCGAAGCCGAUCAACGAACCGAGUUACCCUAGGGAUAACAGCGCAAUCCUCUUUUAGAGUCCAUAUCGACAAGAGGGUUUACGACCUCGAUGUUGGAUCAGGACAUCCUAAUGGUGCAGCCGCUAUUAAGGGUUCGUUUGUUCAACGAUUAAAGUCCU
Molecule: ribosomal RNA, 572 nt
Filed under: Sphoeroides greeleyi (green puffer)
Lineage: Eukaryota; Metazoa; Chordata; Actinopteri; Tetraodontiformes; Tetraodontidae
Also listed under: 1 other name
Description: partial 16S rRNA
Rfam family: Bacterial large subunit ribosomal RNA
Source: RNAcentral